GAAACUAUUGGUUCGACAUCACGACUAUCUAAGAUUCAUAACAUGAAAACAAACAAAUAAUAGUAAUUUUUGAUUAUCACAGAAAAAAAAAACAAAAACAUCAAACAUUUUAACCGAACAAACCAAAUAAAUAUUGAUUAAAAUGAUAGUUAUAUUUUAUGAGAUUAAAAACCAAAAAACAACCUAAAACCAAACCGAUAUCCAGAUUAAACAGAUUAAUGUCUCCUUAUUAAAAAAAUAACGAAACUAAUAAUCAUAUUCCGUGCAAGGCGCAGGUUAUUACCUAGUUUAUUAGUAUUUACCACUGAGCUGAGUACAAGUUCUCUCUUAGUUAUUUGAGUAAUGUAUCCUUAUAUUAUAAUUGAGCUUCGACAUCCGAAUUAGCCGUAUAGGACGUCUCCAAAGCGCAAG
Molecule: long non-coding RNA, 411 nt
Filed under: Brassica rapa (field mustard)
Lineage: Eukaryota; Viridiplantae; Streptophyta; Magnoliopsida; Brassicales; Brassicaceae
Description: long non-coding RNA (BRAP_LNC006561)
Source: RNAcentral